RNAcentral lists this unclassified non-coding RNA (236 nucleotides) under Glomus sp. RNAcentral's name for it is "partial contains 5.8S ribosomal RNA and internal transcribed spacer 2". The stretch from base 1 to 65 matches the Rfam family "5.8S ribosomal RNA", at positions 84 to 154 of the family's 154-position model. Lineage: Eukaryota; Fungi; Glomeromycota; Glomeromycetes; Glomerales; Glomeraceae. The record is from RNAcentral.
GUGAAUCAUCAAAUUUUUGAACGCAAAUUGCACUCUCUUCGGAGAGUAUGCCUGUUUGAGGGUCAGCCUAAAAAAAAAAUCGACAUAUUCGCUGUUUCCCGUUGACAUUCGUCGGAAAUUGGGUCAUCUUAAACUUUUUGUUUUUAAUAGGCUUAAAAUUUUCUUUACAAUUCCACUAACGUUUCUAAAAUUUUCUUCUUAUCCGUUUACGGUAUCGACCUUUAUUAGACGUGCCC